Molecule: ribosomal RNA, 433 nt
Filed under: uncultured bacterium
Lineage: Bacteria
Description: partial 16S ribosomal RNA
Rfam family: Bacterial small subunit ribosomal RNA
Source: RNAcentral
AGCGAACGCUGGCGGCAGGCCUAACACAUGCAAGUCGAACGAACUCUUCGGAGUUAGUGGCGGACGGGUGAGUAACACGUGGGAACGUGCCUUUUGGUUCGGAAUAACUCAGUGAAACUUGUGCUAAUACCGAAUGUGCCCUUCGGGGGAAAGAUUUAUCGCCAUUAGAGCGGCCCGCGUCUGAUUAGCUAGUUGGUGAGGUAACGGCUCACCAAGGCGACGAUCAGUAGCUGGUCUGAGAGGAUGACCAGCCACACUGGGACUGCGACACGGACCAGAAUCCUACGGGAGGGAGCAGUGGGGAAUCUUGCGGAAUGGGGGAAAGCCUGACGAAGCCAUGCCGCGUGAAUGAUGAAGGUGUUAGGAUUGUAAAAUUGUUUGACAGGGGACGAUAAUGACGGUACCCGGAGAAGAAGCCCCGGCUAACUUCGUG